CUGUAUACCAAGAUGUCUCAAGUUACUAUUCUGUGCCUUUUUGCCGUCGUCGUUGCCAUUGUGGCACAAGAAACAACACCACCAGCUGCAACCACUUCCAAGAGUUUCUUCUGUAAUGAUGACCAGGAUUGUGACCGCCACUGCUCGGGGUACCGCGGCUUCUGUAGCAAGGACGACCACAUGUGCCACCACUGCGAAGCGCCCACUCAAACUUCCUGUACAUCCGAAAUAGACUGUUUGCUGAGUUGCCGCCAUAACCAUGAGCUAUUCGGGAUUUGCCAUCGUGAUGGAACCUGCAGAUGCUCUCACUUCGGAUGAAAACGAUGACGGAAAUGACGUCAUGUGGUGAAGCCGCUGAUUCUUUGAUAUUAUUUUGCAAACUCCAUGCUAUCAAUAAAUUCUGAGCUUAUUACAAGUCACUGUGCCCUGCC
Molecule: long non-coding RNA, 431 nt
Organism: Liolophura sinensis
Lineage: Eukaryota; Metazoa; Mollusca; Polyplacophora; Chitonida; Chitonidae
Exons: 3
Source: RefSeq, a predicted model, not a curated record